UACGGGGGGGGCAAGCGUUGUUCGGAAUUACUGGGCGUAAAGGGUCUGUAGGUGGCUUGCUAAGUCAGACGUGAAAUCCCUCAGCUUAACUGGGGAACUGCGUCUGAUACUGGAUGGCUUGAGUUUGGGAGAGGGAUGCGGAAUUCCAGGUGUAGCGGUGAAAUGCGUAGAUAUCUGGAGGAACACCGGUGGCGAAGGCGGCGACCUGGGUAGAUACUGACGCUGAGGUGCGAAAGCGUGGGGAGCAAACAGG
RNAcentral lists this ribosomal RNA (253 nucleotides) under uncultured bacterium. RNAcentral's name for it is "partial 16S ribosomal RNA". It matches the Rfam family "Bacterial small subunit ribosomal RNA", at positions 524 to 776 of the family's 1533-position model. The record is from RNAcentral.